RNAcentral lists this long non-coding RNA (216 nucleotides) under Phascolarctos cinereus (koala). RNAcentral's name for it is "lncRNA (ENSPCIG00000034362.1)". The record is from RNAcentral. Lineage: Eukaryota; Metazoa; Chordata; Mammalia; Diprotodontia; Phascolarctidae.
GGAGAAAUGAAAAAAAAUACCCCCCAGAGAAAGGCUGGAAGAAGCUGGAGAAAAUGAUGAAACAGAUGAAAAUCAAUAGUACAGAGAAAAUGUCAAGAAGAGGACACCCCACAGAGGGGAAUUCAUUUGGCCUCAAGAUAGUCAUGGAAAUUUUGCUUCUUCAAUUGAUAUAAGACUCUCAACUAAUCUACUUAUGUAGAGAAUAAAUAAGCCAGA